UACGAAGGUGGCUAGCGUUGUUCGGAAUCACUGGGCGUAAAGCGCGCGUAGGCGGCAAUACAAGUCAGAGGUGAAAUGCCGGGGCUUAACCCCGGAACUGCCUUUGAAACUGUAUUGCUAGAGUCUCGGAGGGGAUAGCGGAAUUCCUAAUGUAGAGGUGAAAUUCGUAGAUAUUAGGAGGAACACCUGUGGCGAAGGCGGCUAUCUGGACGAGUACUGACGCUGAGGCGCGAAAGCGUGGGGAGCAAACAGG
Molecule: ribosomal RNA, 253 nt
Filed under: uncultured bacterium
Lineage: Bacteria
Description: partial 16S ribosomal RNA
Rfam family: Bacterial small subunit ribosomal RNA
Source: RNAcentral